CAGUGAAAUUGAACUCGCUGUGAAGAUGCAGUGUACCCGCGGCAAGACGGAAAGACCCCGUGAACCUUUACUAUAGCUUGACACUGAACAUUGAGCCUUGAUGUGUAGGAUAGGUGGGAGGCUUUGAAGUGUGGACGCCAGUCUGCAUGGAGCCGACCUUGAAAUACCACCCUUUAAUGUUUGAUGUUCUAACGUUGACCCGUAAUCCGGGUUGCGGACAGUGUCUGGUGGGUAGUUUGACUGGGGCGGUCUCCUCCUAAAGAGUAACGGAGGAGCACGAAGGUUGGCUAAUCCUGGUCGGACAUCAGGAGGUUAGUGCAAUGGCAUAAGCCAGCUUGACUGCGAGCGUGACGGCGCGAGCAGGUGCGAAAGCAGGUCAUAGUGAUCCGGUGGUUCUGAAUGGAAGGGCCAUCGCUCAACGGAUAAAAGGUACUCCGGGGAUAACAGGCUGAUACCGCCCAAGAGUUCAUAUCGACGGCGGUGUUUGGCACCUCGAUGUCGGCUCAUCACAUCCUGGGGCUGAAGUAGGUCCCAAGGGUAUGGCUGUUCGCCAUUUAAAGUGGUACGCGAGCUGGGUUUAGAACGUCGUGAGACAGUUCGGUCCCUAUCUGCCGUGGGCGCUGGAGAACUGAGGGGGGCUGCUCCUAGUACGAGAGGACCGGAGUGGACGCAUCACUGGUGUUCGGGUUGUCAUGCCAAUGGCACUGCCCGGUAGCUAAAUGCGGAAGAGAUAAGUGCUGAAAGCAUCUAAGCACGAAACUUGCCCCGAGAUGAGUUCUCCCUGACUCCUUGAGAGUCCUGAAGGAACGUUGAAGACGACGACGUUGAUAGGCCGGGUGUGUAAGCGCAGCGAUGCGUUGAGCUAACCGGUACUAAUGAACCGUGAGGCUUAACCUUACAACGCCGAAGCUGUU
This 914-nucleotide ribosomal RNA is filed under the name Escherichia coli. RNAcentral's name for it is "partial 23S ribosomal RNA". It matches the Rfam family "Bacterial large subunit ribosomal RNA", at positions 2034 to 2925 of the family's 2925-position model. The record is from RNAcentral. Lineage: Bacteria; Pseudomonadati; Pseudomonadota; Gammaproteobacteria; Enterobacterales; Enterobacteriaceae.